This 10509-nucleotide long non-coding RNA is filed under the name Theobroma cacao (cacao). RNAcentral's name for it is "long non-coding RNA (TCAC_LNC003582)". The record is from RNAcentral. Lineage: Eukaryota; Viridiplantae; Streptophyta; Magnoliopsida; Malvales; Malvaceae.
UUAAAAUAGAUCUUACGUAUAGGUAUAUAUUUACGGAAAUUUUAAAAUUGACAUUCCCUACUCACCUCACAAUAGCGGGAUAUUACAUCGCUAUUGAUUCUUACGUGUCUAUAAUUAUUCCUACUUGCCGAUCACAUCUCACUUUGUUUUAGCAGUGAUACCAACAUUUAACAAUUAUGCGGUAAAACAGUUUGAACACUCAAUAAAAUGCAUCAGGUCAGAUAAUGGAUUAGAAUUCAGACUAAAAGAUUUUUUUGACAAAACAGGCAUAGUUCAUCAGCUUUCAUGUGUUGAGACCCCUCAACAAAAUGGGGUUGUUGAGCGGAAGCAUCAACAUAUUUUGGUUGUAGCAAGGGUGUCAUGACCCAGAACUCCCAUCGGCCCAUAACAAUCGCCGCAAUGUCCCAAUAGGCACUCAUUACCCCGAAUGUCAAUCGAAACCUCGCAAGGCUUAGCAUCAGCUUCCGCAUCUCCCCGGUGAGCAACAGUUAUUAAAUCUCACAUUUCAAGAAAUCAUAAGUCAUUUUCAAAUCAAAAUAAUAAAAUAUUAUUUUCUGGCUCAUAGAGGCAUUUUCGUCAUUUUUCGUCAAAAAUCUCAAAACUUACUAAAAAUGUAGUAGGUAAGCAGAAAGAAUAUAUUUAGUAAUUUAAAAACAAAUUAAGUAUCUAAAACAUUCAUUUGAAGUGAAAAUUUGACCAUUUGAAUAUAAUAAAAAUAUUCAAUAAAAUAAACUAUUUUAUUGUAAAAUAAUUUUUUAUAAAGCUAUCGAUAAAUAAUUCUUAUAGCGUAAAAGUUAAUUAUAUUCAUAUAUACUAUAAAGCAAAUAACCAAAGCAUAAAAUUACUUUUACAGCGACAUGUGGGCCCUUAACUGACCAAGAAGGUGUAGAGCUACGAACCCUUACUUUCUAGGAUGCAACUCCAAGAUUAAUUCUUGUCUUAAUCAACUAUCAACAAACUGUCCUGAGCCUAAAAAAAAUGAAUAGGAAGAGGGGUGAGAUUAUCUAAUCUCAGUGAGUAAACAAUUACCAUCAAAAGCAUCUAAAACCGAGUAGAUGGAGACAAUAUAAAAAUGUUAUAUUUCAAUAAUGUUCAUAACGCAAAAUUCAUUUCAAUCUAUACCAACGAUUUCUUUUCAUCAAAAUUUCCCUAGCUUAUAAGUUUCUUAAACUUGGCCCCUGCCAGAAUCAUUCUUGCGGGUACCUUCGUCAAAGUAUCCCACUGAAAUCGCCAAGGCUAUUAAAUGUUUCACACCCAUAAACAUGUUUUCGUAUUUGACACAUAGCCGUUCCUUGGCGUUGGCUGAGUCUCACUCUCUCGUGGUGCCCCGAACGUGAGGUGCACUCAAAUUUUACCUCAGGAGAUACUUCACCCAACAUCUCCCUCUGGAGGUAAAUAUAUAAUUGGGUUGUCGUACCCCUCUCAUAGGCAUUCCACGGAAACCCCCACUACUGUAGUGACCGUUUAAUAUACCACCAGACCCAUAAAAUUUUCAGUAGCAUAAUAUGGCGAAUAAAAUUUAAUCCAGUCUACCGAGACCAAUCCAAAACUAUUCAUAUAUUUCAUGCCGACCCCAAAAAUUUAGCCAGUGUCAUAAGCUACAAUUUCAAUAACAUAUAAAAUCAUAAAUUCAACACAGUCUCCAUAUACUCAAUUUUUCUAAAAUAAUAUUUGAUUUCAAAACCAGUAUAAAUCUCAUUUUUUAUAAAAAAAAUAUUUUAAUUGGAAAACAUAAUAUUUUAUAAUUUAAACUCACCAUUCAAUAAAAGCAUCAAACAAGUAUAAUUACUCUAGAUAUUUAAGACGAUAAAUUAUCCACUCACAGUAUUAGGAGUAGAAAUACUCCUAUUUUCAGUCCGUGGGUACAGUCCUUUACCCGUAUCCAAUGGCCCAUCACCUAGCCAUAAUCCAUGACACAUAUUCUAAUUAAAUUGUGUCUAACAGUCAUAAGCUAUUUCAAGCUCGAUAUAUAUGCAUGAUAUGAAAUGAAAAAUGCACGGGUAGCCAUCUAGACCCGGUAUUGGCCUAAGUCGAUUUUUCAUCCGAUAAAUUGUCCAAUGCGUCCAAUUUCACUCCAACUUGCUCCAUUGCUUUUCCAAUCUCUCAAUUCACCAAGCACAACUAAUUAACACACAAUUAGGCAAAAUUUAUCUUCACUUUUUUUCUUGGAAAUUUCAGCCAACAAUGGUACACUAACUCUGUGAUUUUUCCUACUUAAUUUUCUCUCAAUAAUUCAUUAAUUCCUACACCAAAAACUAUUAUUUCUUAAUCAAAUCACCUAGAAUAACAUCUCAUUCUUCCUCAUUAUUCACUUAGAGAAUUCGGCUAUUGAUGGGCACCAAACCUUUGGUGGUUUUCUUCACUUGUUUUCAUACUACACAUCAUUAAUCACCUAAAAAUACUAACAUACCUAAAAAUCAAACCAAUCCAAGAUCAUUCUCUCUCCAUACCCAUUGUGACCAGCCAUGAAUUCACCAUGAAAGCAUACUUUUCAACCAUGAAAAUUAAGGGAAAAUGCAUAGGGAAAAUAGUUCAUAAACUAAAAUCAAGAAAUUUUACCUUUUUUCACUUGAUUUCCUUGAAAAUCCACACUUUUCUCUUGAAUUUCUUUCCACCUUGGGUUUGUUCUUCCUUUCCCCUUUGUUUUCUUGCUAUGGCCGGCCAUAAUGAAGAGAAAAUGGUGGUGUGGGCUGAUUUUUAUAGUUAAAUAAUAUAAUAAUUUAAACUUACCACAUGACAUUCCAUGAUUGGUCUAUAUUUUAAAUUCUUAUCUUUUAAGCUUUAAAUCUCCACCAUACAUUAUUCAAGGGUCAAAAAUGAUGAUGGGUGAAGACCUUGUGCUGAAAAAGUGUUAUGGGGGUGCAAAAUUACCGUUUUGCCCUCGAGUGGUAAAAUUACCAUUUCGCCCCUGUACUCCAAAUUAUACCGAAAUUAAAAUUUUUCACUUCUAAACCUCAACCCAUACUCCAAUAAGUCAAAUGGGGCAAAAAAAAAAUCUUUUCUAAAAAUUUCCAUUUUGUCUCCAUGUGGCAAAUGAUCAUUUUGCCCCUGGAUAGUGAAAAUUUCGGUUUGACUCCAAAUUGAUCCUCGAGCUCUGAAUUAUCAUUUUGAGUCAUUCCUGGACCGUGAAACUCUUAAUUUUACCUUAAAAUUCCUAUUUGAACUAGUUCGAGGCUUAAUCGACUUAAUGGUACCAUUAGGGGUAAUAUCAUCUUUUAACGAUUCCUCGAACUUCCUAAAUAUGCAAACAUUCUAUUGAGCAUGUAAAUGACGUCGUAAUUAUGUUAUAGAACAGGGUUUGACAAAGGGCCUUACUAUUUCAAUCUAGUCUGCCUACUCACUUUUGGGGUGAUGUUGUAAUGACAGCUGUGCAUAUCAUUAAUAGAGUACCAACAAGGUUACUCAAGAACAAAUCCCCAUUUGAAUUGUUAUAUAAGAGACAACCUUCAUAUGAGCAUUUGAGAGUGUUUGGUAGCCUAUGUUUUGUAUCUACUUUGUCAUAGCACAGAAAGAAAUUAGACCAAAGAGCCACAAAAUGCAUUUUUUUAGGCUAUCCAAAUAACACAAAAGGUUAUAGGGUAUAUGAUCUCAAUGCAAACAGAAUCAUAAUUUCAAGGAAUAUUGUUUUUCAUGAAGGAACAUUCUCUUUUCAGUCAAAACAGCACACUACAUGGCCUGAACCAUUUUGUCAAACACCCGGUAUGCAUACCAAAUAUUCACCUCAAAUUGACUCAGACUUACCAAAUUUUCAUUACCAAGAUUACAUACUUGUUGAAACAUAUAGUUUUGAACCUAAUACAAGUGCUCAAACACCAUCAACAUCACAGAUAAAUGACUUUGAGCCAAAUUCCCUUGAUACAGUUAGUAUGCCUACUGCAACUAACAGUGAAAAUGUAACCAGCAGCAAUGAACAUGAUCCAAAUGAAAAUUUACCAGUUAGAAGAAGCACAAGACAUAAAUAUGCUCCUAAAUAUCUGGAUGCUUAUCAUGUUGACAUGCCUUCAAAAUCUCAUACUGUCACUGCUCACCCAAUCACUAAAUUCCUGUCUACAAAGAACCUGUCACCUACAUACAAAACAUUCACUACAUCUCUGUCACACACAUUUGAACCUUCCACUUAUCAUCAAGCUACUACUUAUUCUCAUUGGAGAGAUGCCAUGAGUGCUGAAUUGAAAGCUUUACAAGACAGUGAAACGUGGAGCACAGUACCAAGACCUCCAAAUUCUCAUGUAAUUGGGUGCAAGUGGGUGUACAAAGUGAAGUUGAAUGCAGAUGGACAAAUUGAAAGAUAUAAAGCUCGCUUGGUUGCAAAAAGGUAUAACCAAAUUGCAGGUUUUGACUACAAGGAGACUUUCAGUCCUGUAGCUAAGCAAACAACAGUAAGAGUAUUCUUUGCCAUAGCAGCAGCUUUCAAUUGGCAUAUAAUACAGUUGGAUGUGAACAAUGCAUUCUUGAAUGGAGAUUUAAAGGAGGAGGUGUACAUGGACAUAUCGCCAGAAUAUGAGAUCCAAGGGGUGUAUCUAGAAAAAGUGAAAUUGGUCUGCAAACUUCAUAAGUCACUAUAUGGCUUAAAGCAGGCAUCUAGGGAGAGGAAUGCCAAAAUCACAUCUUUAAUUAUAUUUAUUCAGUCCAAUGCAGAUCACUCACUGUUUACUAUGAAAACAAACAAUGAUGAGUUCAUUGCACUCUUAUUGUAUGUAGAUGACAUACUAGUAAGGAGUUCUUCAAAACAAGCUGCAGAUGAUGUGAAAUUGUUCCUAAGUUCACAUUUUAAGCUCAAGGAUUUAGGAAUAGUCAAAUAUUUUCUCGGGUUAGAAAUAGCAAGAUCUCCUGAAGGUAUCUCCAUAUCACAAAGAAAAUACACUUUGGAUCUAUUAGAAAAACAUAGGUUGUUAGGUGCAAAACCAAUCUCCACUCCUAUUGACUAUAAUCAGAAGUUAGUCAAGGCUCAAGAUGAAGAGAAGCUUAUCAAUUCAACAGACUAUAGACAAUUAGUUGGGAAAUUACUAUACCUCACAUUCAGCAGACCGGACAUAGCAUAUGCAGUUCAAGUAUUGUCACAGUUUAUGGACAAGCCUAGUCUUAAACAUAUGAAUGCAGCUCACAGGGUGCUGAAAUAUCUGAAGGGGUCAGCUGGUCAAGGUAUCCUGAUGAAGUCAGAAUCAAAUUUAAUGAUUGUGGGAUACUGUGACAGUGAUUGGGCAGGUUGUCCUGAUUCUAAGAAGUCAAUCACAGGAUACAAUAUAUUCAUUGGAAAUUCUUUGGUGACAUGGAAAUCUAAGAAACAAUCAGUGGUUCUCAAAGCUCAGUAGAAGCUGAGUACAGGGCAAUGGCAUUAGCUAGUUAUGAAAUUAUCUGGUUGAAACAUCUUUUAGCAGACUUUGGAAUUAAGCAUAAAGUUGCAGUGGUACUCUAUUCAGACAGUUAGUCAGCCAUUCACAUAAGCAAGAACCCGAUCUUCCAUGAGAGGACCAAACAUAUAGAGAUGGAUUGCCACUUCAUUAUGGAGAAAGUGAUUGAAGGUACAAUCAAACCAAUAAAUAUUUCAACUAAUUUGCAACUAGUUGAUCUAUUCACUAAAGCCUUACAACCAAGGCAAUUCCACAAUCUUUUGAGUAAGAUGAAUGUUCACAACAUUCACAUAUCAUCUUGAGGGGGAGUAUUAGAUAACACAGCAUUGAAUAAGCUCGAAGCAAUUGUAAAGAGUUUUGUGAAGAAGACUCGAGCAGAAGGAAGAAACAGGAAGUUUGGAAAUAAAUGAACAGAGCUGUGCGCACCAUUUUGAAGAAAGCAAGAGGAAAAACUUGAAAUAAAAUGAAACGUUGUGUUUUAUUUUAUUAGUUUUAAAUUUAAAUUAUGUUAGUUAAAUAUUGUAAUUAUUAGUUAUUUUUUUUAUUUUUAACUCUUAAAACAUUGUAUAUAAACAAUUUUUUUUUAGAUAUUUUUUGAAUAGAAAAUACUUAAAAUGACUUUUCUUUCUAAAAGGAUGAGCCGGCACUGCUUUCUUACUUCCUGCAGCUUUCUGACAAAUGUGAAUAUAUUUAUUUCAAAUACAAAAAAUGAUUCCGCAUGCAUACAGCAUACCGAACGCCCCCUUAGACAGCUAGAGCUCACGUUCUGGCUCAUUGACUCAUUGAAAUUCUGAGCAAGUCUGUCUGAUGUACGUUUCCAUACUUUCAGUGCACGGCCUCCAAGAAAUGUGUCUUGUUCUUUCUCCAACUUGAAGUUUGGCGUUUUUAGGAUAUAAUUUAUCUUCUUUCCACUGCCAUUGUGCAAUCUUUAUGUCAAUCGGGAGCUUCCAACCUCGAACCCGUUGCUUACUUUGACAGAUUCAACAAGCAGUUUUAAGUCAUUGAUGGAGGACGCAAGUUGCAGUUGUACUAAGCUAUCUCUUUUGCUGAGGUGAUGACUAAGUCCUCUGUAUAGGUCCCAUAUUUUUCACCCAAACCGAUACAGGAAAUUGUACGCCAAAGAAAAGUCUCCAUGACAGGAAACUUACAAUGAAGCUUCUCAGAAUCAAGGUUCCGAGGUCUAUUUAAGGCUGCGAUAUGAAGUAAGCAGAGAACAAGACAGAGAGAGGGAGAGAGGAAGAUUUAUUCAGAGAUGGAGAAAAUGAAGGAAAAAGGGAAGCGACUGUUCACCCACAGAAUCGACAGCUGCAGAUUCAAACCUGGAGAUCAUAUAUAUGGCUACAGGGGAUUUGGUUCAUACAGCCAUCAUGGUCUGUUUUCUUUUCCGUUUCUUUUCCUUUUAAUGUAUAUGCACAUUGAUUUUCCUGGAGACACUCAUACGCUUUAAUUAAUGAAAAUUCCAGGAAUAUAUGUUGGUGAAGAUUGUGCGAUUCAUUUCAUCCCGACAGAAAGUGACGGUCUCUCCAAGCAAGACCCUCCUUGUCCAAAAUGUGGAUAUCAGCACAACGUUCACCUCGGAGUGGUGAAGACCUGCCUGGAUUGCUUCCUAUCCAACGGUGCCCUUUCAAGCGAUUCCCUCUGUCUUUACCAAUACGAAGAAUCGGAGUUGGUUAAGAUGUUGAAAAGAGCUGGCAGCUGCAGUAGCUCCAAAUGUUUACCACCCCAAACCGUUGUGAACAUUGCCAACGAGCUCCACAAGGAAAAUUGUUUCGGCCGCUAUGACCUUGUUGGGAACAACUGUGAAGACUUCAGUACAUUUUGUAAGACUGGCAUUCGCAGAAGUGAACAGGUCCUUAGUGUUAUGAAUUUACCUAUGAUGCCAUUCCUGGCCAAGGUAUUGGAGAGCUUAAAGCUCUCUCUACCUAAAUAAUGCUUUAGAAAGAAAAUCCAAAAAAUUGUGUGUAAUUUCAAUAAGAUUUAGGAGGAUUUCUGAGUACCAAAUUUCUAAGAUUUCCUAAUGAUGAAGAUAUAUCAAGUGUUAACAUUGUUGACUUUAGUAUUAAUUCCAUCAAAUACUUGUUAUUUGUGCUCUUAUUUUUUUAAAGAAAAUUAUGAGCAAUUACUAUAUGCUUGUCUAUUUAGUUAAAUGGUAUGUUGAAGAGCUUGAUUUUUUUUUUUUAAUUCUUUCUUCAAGUUUAAUGCUCUCACUAUAAGUGACAAUCAUAGAGUGAGAUGAUUGAACCUAGAACCUAAUUUAUUAAUCAGGUUUAAGACCCAAUGUAUUAAUUAUUUUUGGAUCUUAAUGGGUUAAUUGGGUCUUGGAACUUGAUAGUCUAAAUUGAAUUAAAAAACAAAAACAAAAACAAAAAAUAAUAAUAGUAAUAGAAAGUGCAACAAAAUAAAAUAAAAAUCUGAAAUGGAGGGGAUGGAUCGCGGAAUCCCAAUUCCUAAAUCCACAAGGCUCAAUGUCUUUCUUGUAACGACCCUUCCCCGGUCGCUAUUGACGUUCGAGACUUCCGGAAGAUCCCGUUAAGUCCCGAACAAGCUUUCAUGAAAUUUCUAGAUAUCUCUUUAUACAUAUUUACUAAACAUUAUUAAUGCUCAAAACAUAUAUAUUUAUUCCAUGAAUUUAACAAUAAGCAUAGUAAUUUGAUUGGGAUCUUUAAGUCAUAAUAUCAUGAUUAAAUACAUCGAGUUUAAUACCCCAAAAUUUUCGUUUAUAUCAAAACUAAAAUCUAUUUACAUAAUGAUGCCAAAUUGCUAAAACUUGACCUUUAACAGUGAGCGACUUGGAAUGAAAGGCUAAGAGAUGCUUUUACCUAUCUACAAUGGAUCGUAUGCACCGAUGAUUGCACGUUAAGCUGAUCCCUGUUUACAAAAGAGAAAAUGAGAGGAGUGUGAGUCUCACAGACUCAGUGAUCAUCGAUUCUGUGAGUAAGGCGUAGAUGAAAAACAAGUAAUAAGGUAAAGAUUUUGAAUAAUAAAAAUUGCAAAAGUAGAUAAAAAUAUUUAAUUCAAAUGGAGAUUUGUACCUUAUAUAUAUAAAAGAAAAUAUCGAGAAUCUCUUAUAAGUCAUAAUCAACCAUAAUGUAUAUCAAAUCAAGUAAGUAAACUUUUGUGCAGCGAGAAGGUUAAUAACCAUUUUCAAACUAAAUCAGUAAGAUAUCGUUUUAAACCUCGUGUUCAUAAAAGAUCUUUGCAGUCGAAAUUAUCUCAUGUAAUACUCAAAUCAAAUCAAUAAAGUUGGCCAAGCUCCCGCGAAACCAAAUAGUAACCAGAGUUAUAUAUAGUUCGCAAAUCACCUCACACGCGAGGGUAAAAUUCAUAUAACAAUAAAUCCAGGGGGGAAGCUGCAGGAAACCGUAUAAUUUUGUUUUCACCAUGUAAGAAAUAAAAGUCUAAAAACCCAAAGAGAUUUUUGUCUCGAGUAGGAAAUCAAAUAAAAUCCGUGGUCCCACUACUACAUAAUAACCUCCGGGAGUCUCGCUCCACCGGAUUCCACAUGCCAUGGAAGUCUCAAUGAUGUUAGCUGACAUCGGAGAAUCAAGCGGUUGCAACUGCGUAAUCAUCUAGUGGCCUAGCCACGCAUACAUAUAUCACAGGCCGUGGUCCCCACCACGUCUAACCACCCGUUGGCGAUCCAAAAGUCCUCUAGCUAGAGCUCACUCGUGCACGAGGGUCACACUUAACCCAAGUGAUAGUUGGCCUACUCUCGAAUCUCUCGGUUUAUAAAACCAUUUUAGAAAUCACUUUAUGUCCUUAAAAUCUCGUUUCAAAAUUAUUUCCAAAGCAUUCAACAUAAGGUAUGAUAAAAUUUAUCAUUUUCUCAAAAUGAAUUUAUGCAUGAACUUCAAAACAAUAAUUUGCAUGGUGGAUAAGCAAUAUAACCAUGACUGCACACUGCACAAAUAUAAGGCACAGAUUUUGAGGUAAAACAGUGCGAAAGGCUUGUUUCCCGAUUUUUAAAACUCUUUACAUAUAAUUUAUACAUAUAUAUAUAUAUUCAAAACGAUUUCUAAACAUAAUUUGCAACCACAAUUUUCUAAGAUUGCUACCAGCACAUGCUAUCCACAAUUUUCGCGUUUAAAAUAGAUUUUACGUAUUGGUAUAUAUUUACAAAAAUUUUAAAAUUGACACUUCCUACUCACCUCACAAUAACGGGAUAUUACAUCGCUAUUGAUUUUUACGUGUCUAUAAUUAUUCCUACUUGCCGAUCACAUCUCACUUUGUUCGGCACGCCAUCAAUACAAGCUUUCCUAACAACAAUUCAAACUCAAUAUAUUUAGUGCCCACUUUAACCUUUCGAAGUAACUUCCGCCCAAACCCAUCUUAAUAUUUUUAUAAUAUUAACCAUAUUUACGGCAACAACAAUCAUUUCAAAUCUACUUAAUCAUUUUCCAAUUUCAUCCACAUUAUUCUCCCUUAUUUCUUCCAAUUAAUAUAACAUGUAACUUAACACUUCUAACUAAUUUAUGUAAAUAAAUUCCUCCGACAACAAUAAUUCCUCACAAUGAAUCAUUUCAAAAUUUUUUAACUAUAUUUAAAACACUAUUCAUUCAUCUCAUAUUUUCUUUUUUGCUUUAAUCCUAUGAAAAUCAUAAAAUAAUUUUUAAAUAUUAUAUUAAAACAACUUAAUUUAAUUCAUAUCAUCAAUAAUCUAAAUUUAGCUAAACAAGAUGGACUAGCCUCCAAAUAAUCUAAUUUCAUAACAAGUCCAAAAAAAAGAGCAAGGCAAUUUUUACCAAUUUGGGCUGGGUGGUCCAAAUCUCCACCUUUAUUCUCUUUCCCUUUCUAUUCCACCUUGUUCCAGCCGGCCUUCUCAUGAACCAGCACCCAUGGACAGCACAAGCUCUCUCUCUCCCUCACAUCAUUGGCAGCUUAAAGUCCCCUCCCUACUUCCACCGUUGGUUAGCUCUCUCUUUUUCCGCCAGCCACCACAACCCAAAUCUUUCUCUUUUCCUUCCUCCAAAUUCCAGCAAUUAACACCCUUGUUUUCCCCUAUCAAAAUCAGCUGCACAGCUCUUUCUUUCCUCUAUCAAAAAUCAGCUUCUUCCUCCCUUUUAUUUUUGUUCAAUAAAUGGCUUCCUCUUUUCCUUUUUUCACCGCCGGUCACCUUUCUUUCCUUCUUCUUCUUUCUUUUCUUCUUUCUUUGGCCGGC